RNAcentral lists this small RNA (414 nucleotides) under Histoplasma ohiense. RNAcentral's name for it is "hypothetical lncRNA". The record is from RNAcentral. Lineage: Eukaryota; Fungi; Ascomycota; Eurotiomycetes; Onygenales; Ajellomycetaceae.
GACCAACUCACCACUUUCCAUGGACUGUGCCCUCCUUCUCUGUGUCCUCCUUCAGCCUCCUGGCCCAGUCCAGCGCUCCCCAGUCGCAGUCGUUCUCUCGACUCUGCAGGCUGGGCAUCAGCAAAAGGCAGAUGGGUAGGAAGCACUGGUCCCCUGACAAAGUGAUACAGCCAUCCAGGAGAGAUCAGGGAGAUGAGCUCACCUUCUCGGCCCAGUCAAUGCAUAGGCCGAGCCUCCGUGAAAGACGCGGAGACGAGCCCUACGACAACUGGAUCCUUUGCUGUGUGGUGGUCUCGCCCGCUGGGCGGCCAGUCUACAGGUACAAAUCACCCUUGGAGCUGCUCAAGGCGCUCCACGACGCGAUCAAGGCACACCAAUCGCUCGCUCUACCUGGAUGGAAGCAUUCUAUACCGG